GACGAACGCUGGCGGCGUGCCUAAUACAUGCAAGUUGAGCGCUGAAGGUUGGUACUUGUACCGACUGGAUGAGCAGCGCACGGGUGAGUAACGCGUGGGGAAUCUGCCUUUGAGCGGGGGACAACAUUUGGAAACGAAUGCUAAUACCGCAUAAAAACUUUAAACACAAGUUUUAAGUUUGAAAGAUGCAAUUGCAUCACUCAAAGAUGAUCCCGCGUUGUAUUAGCUAGUUGGUGAGGUAAAGGCUCACCAAGGCGAUGAUACAUAGCCGACCUGAGAGGGUGAUCGGCCAGACUGGGACUGAGACACGCCCCAAACUGCUACGGGAGGCAGCAGUAGGGAAUCUUCGGCAAUGGACGAAAGUCUGACCGAGCAACGCCGCGUGAGUGAAGAAGGUUUUCGGAUCGUAAAACUCUGUUGGUAGAGAAGAACGUUGGUGAGAGUGGAAAGCUCAUCAAGUGACGGUAACUACCCAGAAAGGGACGGCUAACUACGUG
Molecule: ribosomal RNA, 497 nt
Filed under: uncultured bacterium
Lineage: Bacteria
Description: partial 16S ribosomal RNA
Rfam family: Bacterial small subunit ribosomal RNA
Source: RNAcentral